AUGGCUCCUCCUCCUCCUAGCCGGCAUCCUCCUCCCCGUCGUCUCGUACCUGCUAGUGACGAAGCACAGAGCCGAGGAAGGGCGGCUGAAGCUGCCGCCGGGCCCGAAGCCGGUGCCGGUGCUCGGCAACCUGCACCAACUGGGCUCUCUACCGCAUCGCAACCUGCGCGACCUGGCCGGGCGGCACGGCCCCGUCAUGCUACUCCGCCUCGGCGCGGUGACGACGGUGGUGGUCUCGUCCGCGGCUGCGGCGCGCGACGUGAUGAAGGCCCACGACGCCGAGUGCUGCAGCCGCCCCGCAUCGCCGGGCCCCGCGCGGCUCUCCUACGGGCGCAAGAGCGUCUCGUUCUCGCCAUACGGCGCCUACUGGCGCGACAUGCGCGGACUCUUCGCCGCGGAGCUCCUCGGCACGCGCGGCGUCAGAGCCGCCUGGGCCGCACGGCGGGAGCAGGUGGACAGGCUCAUGGCCGCCCUGGGCAGCGCUGCGGGGCCGGUGUCGUUGGACGAGCACGUGUUCCGUGUCGCCGACGGCGUCAUCGGCACGGUGGCGUACGGGAGCGUGUACGGCGCGGAGGCGUUCGCGGGCAAGUACGAGCGGUUCCAGCAUGUGCUACAGGAGGCCGUGGACAUGUCGGCCAGCUUCUCCGCCGAGGACUUCUUCCCCAACGCCGCCGGCCGCCUCCUCGACCGGCUCGCCGGCAUCGUCGCGCGCCGGGAGAGGAUCUUCAGAGACCUCGACGGCUUCUUCGAGGCAGUGCUGGAGCAGCACCUGGACCCCGCGCGCCCAAAGCCGGAGAGCGGCGGCGGCGACCUGGUGGACGCCCUCGUUAG
RNAcentral lists this ribosomal RNA (831 nucleotides) under Triticum aestivum (bread wheat). RNAcentral describes it as "partial small subunit ribosomal RNA". Lineage: Eukaryota; Viridiplantae; Streptophyta; Magnoliopsida; Poales; Poaceae. The record is from RNAcentral.